Molecule: ribosomal RNA, 465 nt
Filed under: Vreelandella stevensii
Lineage: Bacteria; Pseudomonadati; Pseudomonadota; Gammaproteobacteria; Oceanospirillales; Halomonadaceae
Description: partial 16S ribosomal RNA
Rfam family: Bacterial small subunit ribosomal RNA
Source: RNAcentral
UCUACGGGAGGCUGCAGUGGGGAAUAUUGGACAAUGGGCGAAAGCCUGAUCCAGCCAUGCCGCGUGUGUGAAGAAGGCCUUCGGGUUGUAAAGCACUUUCAGUGGGGAAGAAAGCCUUGGGGCUAAUACCCUCGAGGAAGGACAUCACCCACAGAAGAAGCACCGGCUAACUCCGUGCCAGCAGCCGCGGUAAUACGGAGGGUGCGAGCGUUAAUCGGAAUUACUGGGCGUAAAGCGCGCGUAGGCGGUCUGAUAAGCCGGUUGUGAAAGCCCCGGGCUCAACCUGGGAACGGCAUCCGGAACUGUCAGGCUAGAGUGCAGGAGAGGAAGGUAGAAUUCCCGGUGUAGCGGUGAAAUGCGUAGAGAUCGGGAGGAAUACCAGUGGCGAAGGCGGCCUUCUGGACUGACACUGACGCUGAGGUGCGAAAGCGUGGGUAGCAAACAGGAUUAGAUACCCCGGUAGUC